This 771-nucleotide ribosomal RNA is filed under the name Bacillus sp. SK89. RNAcentral's name for it is "bacterial SSU rRNA". It matches the Rfam family "Bacterial small subunit ribosomal RNA", at positions 64 to 818 of the family's 1533-position model. The record is from RNAcentral. Lineage: Bacteria; Bacillati; Bacillota; Bacilli; Caryophanales; Bacillaceae.
GAGCGGACAGAAGGGAGCUUGCUCCCGGAUGUUAGCGGCGGACGGGUGAGUAACACGUGGGUAACCUGCCUGUAAGACUGGGAUAACUCCGGGAAACCGGAGCUAAUACCGGAUAGUUCCUUGAACCGCAUGGUUCAAGGAUGAAAGACGGUUUCGGCUGUCACUUACAGAUGGACCCGCGGCGCAUUAGCUAGUUGGUGAGGUAACGGCUCACCAAGGCGACGAUGCGUAGCCGACCUGAGAGGGUGAUCGGCCACACUGGGACUGAGACACGGCCCAGACUCCUACGGGAGGCAGCAGUAGGGAAUCUUCCGCAAUGGACGAAAGUCUGACGGAGCAACGCCGCGUGAGUGAUGAAGGUUUUCGGAUCGUAAAGCUCUGUUGUUAGGGAAGAACAAGUGCAAGAGUAACUGCUUGCACCUUGACGGUACCUAACCAGAAAGCCACGGCUAACUACGUGCCAGCAGCCGCGGUAAUACGUAGGUGGCAAGCGUUGUCCGGAAUUAUUGGGCGUAAAGGGCUCGCAGGCGGUUUCUUAAGUCUGAUGUGAAAGCCCCCGGCUCAACCGGGGAGGGUCAUUGGAAACUGGGAAACUUGAGUGCAGAAGAGGAGAGUGGAAUUCCACGUGUAGCGGUGAAAUGCGUAGAGAUGUGGAGGAACACCAGUGGCGAAGGCGACUCUCUGGUCUGUAACUGACGCUGAGGAGCGAAAGCGUGGGGAGCGAACAGGAUUAGAUACCCUGGUAGUCCACGCCGUAAACGAUGAGUGCUA